GAUGAAGAACGUAGCGAAUUGCGAUAAGUAAUGUGAAUUGCAGAAUUCCGUGAAUCAUCGAAUCUUUGAACGCAAAUUGCACUCUCUGGUAUCCCGGAGAGUAUGCCUGUUUGAGGGUCGGUAAAAUGAAAUAUCGAUAUGUUGCUUAUUUUGCAGCAUUUCGGAAUUGGGUUAACUUGAUCCUCAAGUGACCUAAAAUUCAUUACUUCCGGUAUGAUUAACGUAUUUAAUUAUUUCGUUUGAAUGCCGAAUUAUAUUAGAUGUGACUAUUUAAUAUAGCAUCACUUCUAUAAUUUUUUGAAUUUCGACCUCAAAUCAGGUAAGAGUACCCGCUGAACUUAAGCAUAUCAAUAAGCGGAGGA
This 362-nucleotide unclassified non-coding RNA is filed under the name soil metagenome. Its description in RNAcentral is "partial contains 5.8S ribosomal RNA, internal transcribed spacer 2, and large subunit ribosomal RNA". The stretch from base 1 to 120 matches the Rfam family "5.8S ribosomal RNA", at positions 35 to 154 of the family's 154-position model. The record is from RNAcentral.